AUUGAACGCUGGCGGCAGGCCUAACACAUGCAAGUCGAACGGUAACAGGAAGAAGCUUGCUUCUUUGCUGACGAGUGGCGGACGGGUGAGUAAUGUCUGGGAAACUGCCUGAUGGAGGGGGAUAACUACUGGAAACGGUAGCUAAUACCGCAUAACGUCGCAAGACCAAAAAGGGGGACCUUCGGGCCUCUUGCCAUCGGAUGUGCCCAGAUGGGAUUAGCUAGUAGGUGGGGUAACGGCUCACCUAGGCGACGAUCCCUAGCUGGUCUGAGAGGAUGACCAGCCACACUGGAACUGAGACACGGUCCAGACUCCUACGGGAGGCAGCAGUGGGGAAUAUUGCACAAUGGGCGCAAGCCUGAUGCAGCCAUGCCGCGUGUAUGAAGAAGGCCUUCGGGUUGUAAAGUACUUUCAGCGGGGAGGAAGGGAGUAAAGUUAAUACCUUUGCUCAUUGACGUACCCGCAGAAGAAGCACCGCA
Molecule: ribosomal RNA, 479 nt
Filed under: Escherichia coli
Lineage: Bacteria; Pseudomonadati; Pseudomonadota; Gammaproteobacteria; Enterobacterales; Enterobacteriaceae
Description: bacterial SSU rRNA
Rfam family: Bacterial small subunit ribosomal RNA
Source: RNAcentral